Molecule: long non-coding RNA, 2051 nt
Organism: Electrophorus electricus (electric eel)
Lineage: Eukaryota; Metazoa; Chordata; Actinopteri; Gymnotiformes; Gymnotidae
Source: RefSeq, a predicted model, not a curated record
UGGAGUGUGGCCAAGCUGGGCCUCUGUAGCACACGGCCUUUAUCUCAGGAGAACACGCGUGGAGCUAAAGAGACAACAAGGAUGGCCGAGAGAGAAACGCCUUUGUCCACUUUCACACUGUCCUCUGUCGUCUGUGCGCAGCUUGAAGCCGUGGCUGAUGCUCAAGCCACACGUCUGCUCUGUAAUAUUUCAGCUCUGUAUUAUUCCUCUAAAACCUGUAUUAUUCAUAGAUGAGACAUUGGUUAGUAUUUCCUUAGCCUCUAUCCGAGUUUCCAUUUAUUUUUGGAUGGAUGGAUGGAUGGAUGGAUGGAUGGAUGGAUGGAUGGAUGGAUGGACGGAUGGAUGGAUGGAUGGACGGAUGGAUGAUGUUGGUACUGCACUGCUGCCAUCAUCCAAGAUUGGAGGUUAACUCUUCAGGUUCUUGGAUGGACGUUGGCUGAAGUGGGCAGUGCAGAUGGUCUACAGGCUGAUUCCACGUCGUCUCCUCACACUGGGCUCAACCAGGAGGCAGAAUCUCACUGCUGGGACUCUCCAGGGGCAAGUGGAAGUGUGUAUCUGACUCCCCCACCCCCACCUCACUGGCUGCUUCACACAAAGUCUGUCUGUGUGUGCACCACUGCCUUGAUUUUCCAUCAACACUAGACUGUGGAACAGGUCACUGGCCAUCCGACUGCACCGUCAGCUGUGUUUUCCAAAGUGUGUGUUUAAGUGCGUGUGUGUGCACAUUUGCGUGUGUGUGCACGUGUGUGAGUGCUCAAAGCAGUGCUCUAUGUCGCCUGGAAACCUGCUGUUUACAGUCUGAUUGUUUAAGUUUGAAGACUGAUGAAAACUUAGUCAUAUGGACAUGUGCAUAGCCAUAAACUAUCAUGUAAUUCAAAUUGUGCCAGUAAUUCAGCUUGUGCUUUCCAGUCCAUUUGCUGAAUGCUACAGACACAGGGCUUCUAAAAACCUUUGGUGAAAGAAACUCAGUUAGGAUAGUAUUGAACUUUUGCGUUUGGCAGUCAAUCUAUGUUUAACUUUUAUAUUGCUAAGAAUAAUAUUGAAAAAAAGGAGUAACCGAAUGGUCUGAUCCCACUGGUGCGCAUGCAUAUAACGUACAUUCCACAAUCAGGUGGACCUUACUCUACCUUACUCUAUUCUAAUGUUACCUACAACUGCCCCCUAUACAUAAAUAGACCUGCACUCAAGUGGAUAGUAUUGGUAACCUUUAUUUGUUAAUUGCUUUCUGUCUUUGGAUGUUGUGGAAAACGACCCCCUCACUGCGGCAUGGUCUCCAGCCCGAAGGGUUUCUCGCUGGAGCGCCGGGUGGAAGCACGGGAGGCCUCAGCCAUGUGCUCUUUGUUCCCACUACAGGCACUGCAGGCUUUUCCUGGCCAAAGUCUUUUCCUUUACAGCAGAACGUCUGGAGGACAAGAGCCUCCACGCUGCAUCUGCGCUCUUCAAAUGGACCAGAUGUGCCUUUGGCUCCGUGGCCAAGUCUUUUAGCGGCUGCAGAACAAGCCUGCUGCCUCCCCUGGGGAAGCGCACAUAAUAGCAGAACUGUUUUCAGGCAACAGAGACUCGGCCCCGGCGUGAGAUGAACUGCUGUAGCUAACUCAGCCACGGCUGCAGGGACCAGGAGCUCCACAGAGGCAGACUGGCCAAGGACUAGUGCUGAGUUUACUGACUACAAGCAAAGGCAGGCAGGCCGGGCUGGAAGAAGCCCCAAGACAAGCAGAAGGACAAGUACAAAGGAUGUGAGAUGAAGCUCCGGUCCGUGUUGACAGACUCAUCUUUCAACUGCCCAUGUGUGUGUGUGUGCAGCACGUACCAUUUCAAAGGCAAGCUAGAACCCACUGAAAGACAGAAUACGCCAUUAUGACACCAAACGGCUCUGCUCUUCUGUUACCAGUGAGUUUCAGGUGUCGGAAUAUCUGGUGGUCAUCUCUAAAUUACAGUUAGCUGACACAAGAUACGUGUGUGUGCUAAAUAUAGUGACCUUAGGAAUGUUUAUAGGGGAAAAAAAUCUAACUUGAGCAAAGAUCUAUAAAAUUUGUAGAUAAAUUCAAACA